UGUAGCUCUCAGGGUCAGGGCCUAGAGGAAGGGUCUGUGGACAAAACAGGAGCCCUUAGAGCGUUUUGUUUAAGAAUAAGAGAAACUAACUAAAUGAUACAAACUGAGAAGUAACUCAGCUGCAUGUGCCUGCAAAUUCUCUUACACUAUAGGAAAGGCCAGUUGUCUGCCUGAACCACAGCAUCUGAGGAGGACUUUCCCGGUUUGUUCUACUCUGUACUGCCGUUAAAAACAACAACAUCAGCAACAACAACAUGUAUAUAAUUGAGGUUAAGAACUCCUUUCUUAAAGGAUGAUCAAGUGAGGCUGUGUUAAAUCCUGAAAGGCAGUUCCUAAAGUCUCCGUGCAGAACAUCCUGCCUCCCAUCUCUGCAGAUCUGGAAGCCAUUAGCUGUAGUUGGCUGAUCUCAGUUCCUGAAGGAAGGAGGGCGGAACACCAGUCUCUAAGGUAACGAGCACAGACAAGCUGGUAAACAUGUAUAUGUCGUCACCAUUGCCUGCCUGCGGAGAUAGCACCAGAAUGGAUUGACUUUGGGAGCUUUAAACUUUAAGACUGAAAUCAUUUGCAUAAUGAUGAAUAAACUGUAUGUUGAGAGUCA
RNAcentral lists this long non-coding RNA (598 nucleotides) under Phascolarctos cinereus (koala). RNAcentral's name for it is "lncRNA (ENSPCIG00000024576.2)". The record is from RNAcentral. Lineage: Eukaryota; Metazoa; Chordata; Mammalia; Diprotodontia; Phascolarctidae.